RNAcentral lists this ribosomal RNA (497 nucleotides) under uncultured bacterium. RNAcentral's name for it is "partial 16S ribosomal RNA". It matches the Rfam family "Bacterial small subunit ribosomal RNA", at positions 28 to 507 of the family's 1533-position model. The record is from RNAcentral.
GACGAGCGCUGGCGGCGUGCCUAAUACAUGCAAGUAGAACGCUGAAGUGAGGAGCUUGCUCUUCUUGGUUGAGUUGCUAACGGUUGAGUAACGCGUAGGUAACCUGCCUUGUAGCGGGGGAUAACUAUUGGAAACGAUAGCUAAUACCGCAUAACAAUGUAUGACACAUGUCAUUUAUUUGAAUGGGGCAAUUGCUCCACUACAACAUGGACCUGCGUUUUAUUAGAUAGUAGGUGAGGUAAUGGCUCACCUAGGCGACGAUACAUAGCCGACCUGAGAGGGAGAUCGGCAAUACUGGAAGUGGGACUAGGCCCAGACUACUACGGGAGGCAGCAGUAGGGAAUCUUAGGAAAUGGGGGAAAGCCUGACAGAGGAACGCCGCGUGAGUGAAGAAGGAUUUCGGAACGUAAAGGACUGUUGUAAGUAAAGAACGGGAGUGAGGGUGGAAAGUUCACACUGUGACGGUAGCUAACCAGAAAGGCACGGCUAACUACGUG